GCCUGCUGCUCUGCCUACUUGUGAUAUCUCUCUCUCUCUGGCUAUCCAACUGAAACCAAUUGAGGGUAAUUAUAGGAAGGACUUCAAGCCACCCUCAGCUUCCCUUCAAUCUCCCAUAGAUCAGAACACCU
Lutra lutra (Eurasian river otter) is the source of this 131-nucleotide long non-coding RNA. RefSeq lists it as uncharacterized. The transcript is spliced from 3 exons. Lineage: Eukaryota; Metazoa; Chordata; Mammalia; Carnivora; Mustelidae. The record is from RefSeq and is a predicted model, not a curated record.